Molecule: ribosomal RNA, 180 nt
Filed under: uncultured bacterium
Lineage: Bacteria
Description: partial 16S ribosomal RNA
Rfam family: Bacterial small subunit ribosomal RNA
Source: RNAcentral
UGGGGAAUUUUGGACAAUGGGCGCAAGCCUGAUCCAGCAAUGCCGCGUGAGUGAUGAAGGCCUUCGGGUUGUAAAGCUCUUUUGUCCGGGAAGAAAAGGACUGGGUUAAUACCAAUGGUGUACUGACGGUACCGGAACAAUAAGCACCGGCUUACUACAUGCCAGCAGCCGCGGUAAUAA